Penaeus indicus is the source of this 253-nucleotide long non-coding RNA. RefSeq lists it as uncharacterized. The record is from RefSeq and is a predicted model, not a curated record. Lineage: Eukaryota; Metazoa; Arthropoda; Malacostraca; Decapoda; Penaeidae. The transcript is spliced from 2 exons.
GUCUGCGGUUUAACACAAAGAUCGUCGGCGGAGAUCCUACAGAUAUUGCUCAGUAUCCGUGGCAGAUUGGCUUGGCUCAGAAAUACGACAAUUUUGUUUUCUGCGGAGGUUCUAUUAUCAACGAUCGAUAUAUUCUCACGGCCGCCCACUGUGUCGAUGGAAACUAUCCCGAAAAUCUAGUAGUUCGCGUCGGUGAAACAACACGAUCGGGUCCUGCAACAACCAUAGAUGUAGAGCAAAUCAUAGUCCAUGA